AACCAUAGAAACCUGCGGAGUACCUGCGGAAGGAUCAUCAUCGAAUUCAUAUCCCCCUCCUUUCCCGGAGGGGGACCCAUGAUAAACCCUUCUGUGCACCGUAAACCGUUCACUUUGGCAGGCUUUGGUGGCUCGCCUCCAACCUCGCGUUCCCUCCUCCCUAAGGGGUGUUACGCGUGGCGGCCUGCCGGAGUCCCAUUAAAAAAACUCGUUUUCGAACACGUCUGAAAAUUUCCUUUG
This 240-nucleotide unclassified non-coding RNA is filed under the name soil metagenome. Its description in RNAcentral is "partial contains 5.8S ribosomal RNA, internal transcribed spacer 2, and large subunit ribosomal RNA". The record is from RNAcentral.